UACGAAGGGGGCUAGCGUUGCUCGGAAUCACUGGGCGUAAAGCGCGCGUAGGCGGACUCUUAAGUCGGAGGUGAAAGCCUGGGGCUCAACCCCAGAAUUGCCUUCGAUACUGAGAGCCUUGAGAGUGGGAGAGGUGAGUGGAACUCCGAGUGUAGAGGUGAAAUUCGUAGAUAUUCGGAAGAACACCAGUGGCGAAGGCGGCUCACUGGCCCAUUUCUGACGCUGAGGCGCGAAAGCGUGGGGAGCAAACAGG
This 253-nucleotide ribosomal RNA is filed under the name uncultured bacterium. Its description in RNAcentral is "partial 16S ribosomal RNA". It matches the Rfam family "Bacterial small subunit ribosomal RNA", at positions 524 to 776 of the family's 1533-position model. The record is from RNAcentral.